Molecule: non-coding RNA, 45 nt
Organism: Schistosoma margrebowiei
Lineage: Eukaryota; Metazoa; Platyhelminthes; Trematoda; Strigeidida; Schistosomatidae
Source: Rfam
AUCCAGCUGACGAGUCCCAAACAGGACGAAACGCUCGUCCUGGAU